CCAGUGUCAGUGUGACGAGUAAAAAGAGCAAAAUCAUAAUGGGUUAGAAGCAAACCCAAGCUGUGCAACAGUGGAGCUGAAAUUGGCAAAUCAAGCACGGGGAGCUUGUUUAAGCCCAUAUAAUGCAUGUCGGAGAUGACAGAUCUUACCAAGAGGAUGAGGAUACCCUGGAGGAGGCUGCAUAUAGACCCCCUUAGCCAAAUCACCAUGUAAGAAGGCAUUCUUGACAUCCAUCUGAAACAGAGGCCAUCGAUCUGUAGAGGCGACAACCAAAAGAGAACGGACAGAGGUAAUACGAGCAACAUGGGUAAAUGUCUCCUCCUAGUCAAUGCUAAACUCUUGAGUAAAGCCCUUUGCCACUAAAUGAACAUUAUGUCUUACUUCAGAACCAUCAGAGUUUGUUUUCCUCUUAUACACCUAUUUGUUCCCAACUACAGUCUUUCCAGAAAGCAGAUCAACCAGAUCCAAGUAUGAGUUUUGUGAAGAGCGUCAGGUUCUUCAGACAUAGCUUGCUGCCAAACAUGGUCAGAACAAACUUCGAGAUAAUUGCGAGGCUCAUGAAGAGAGUCAAGAGUAGAAAAAUAAUGGUAAUCACUAAGAUGGGUAGGAGGUGCUCUUACUCUACUAGAAUGACGAACAUCCAAAUCAGAGGACUCAGGAGGUGUAUAUGCGAUGGCAUGAUCAUCAGACAAUCCAGUUUCGUGAGAGGUAGGUGUGGAGUGAUCACUAGAUGAGCUGACAUGACCUGCAUUAGAGGAAAAAUCUCGAGAGAGGUCUAUGGUAGGCUCAGUGAAAAUGGGAGAAUAUGAGAGACAAUCGGAUGAAAGUGGAAAGAUGCAAGUAAACAC
Molecule: long non-coding RNA, 848 nt
Filed under: Olea europaea subsp. europaea
Lineage: Eukaryota; Viridiplantae; Streptophyta; Magnoliopsida; Lamiales; Oleaceae
Source: RNAcentral